UUCUUUUUGGAGUAAUAAAAAGUAAUUUCUGCUCAUGAUAUAUAAUUAAAUAGCUGCAUUUUGUACUAAGGUAGCAUAAUAAAUUGUUCAUUAAUUGUGAACUGGAAUGAAGGGAAAAAUGGUUUAAAUCUGUCUUUAAAUUUAUAAAUUGAAUUUAAAAUUUUUGUAAAAAUACAAGAAUGUUUUUUAGGAACAAGCAGACCCUAUAAAGCUUUUGGUAUUUUUUACUAUAUUUAUAGAAAAAAAUAAUUUAAUUGGGGCAAUGAUUUAUGAAUAAAAAAUAUAAAUUAAUUUAAGGUAAUAAUAUAUACUAUAAUUUUGAUCCAUUAUUAAUGAAAAAUGAUAAAGUUACUUUAGGGAUAACAGGAUAAUUUUUGUUAGAAAGUUCUUAUUGAUAACAAAGUUUAUUACCUUGAUGUUGAAUUAAUUUAAUUUAAUGGUGAAGUAACUUUUUGAGUUUGACUGUUCGUCAAUUAAAUAAUUACA
Molecule: ribosomal RNA, 486 nt
Filed under: Aoraki denticulata major
Lineage: Eukaryota; Metazoa; Arthropoda; Arachnida; Opiliones; Pettalidae
Description: partial 16S large subunit ribosomal RNA
Source: RNAcentral